AACGUAGGUGGCGAGCGUUAUCCGGAUUUACUGGGCGUAAAGCGUGUGCAGGCGGCCUCACAAGUGGUGUAUGAAAUAUCCAGGCUCAACCUGGAGGGGUUAUGCCAGACUGUGAGGCUAGAGUGCGAGAGAGGGGCGUGGAAUUCCGGGUGUAGUGGUGAAAUUCGUAGAUAUUCGGAAGAACACCAGUGGCGAAGGCGGCUCACUGGCCCGGUACUGACGCUGAGGUGCGAAAGCGUGGGGAGCAAACAGG
Molecule: ribosomal RNA, 253 nt
Filed under: uncultured bacterium
Lineage: Bacteria
Description: partial 16S ribosomal RNA
Rfam family: Bacterial small subunit ribosomal RNA
Source: RNAcentral